RNAcentral lists this ribosomal RNA (501 nucleotides) under uncultured Oscillibacter sp. RNAcentral's name for it is "bacterial SSU rRNA". It matches the Rfam family "Bacterial small subunit ribosomal RNA", at positions 1 to 507 of the family's 1533-position model. The record is from RNAcentral. Lineage: Bacteria; Bacillati; Bacillota; Clostridia; Eubacteriales; Oscillospiraceae.
AGUAGUUUGACUCCGUGGCUCGAGACACGCUGGCGGCGUGCUUAACACAUGCAAGUCGAACGGAGUACCCUCGAAAGAGAUUUCGGUCAAUGGAGAGGACUACUUAGUGGCGGACGGGUGAGUAACGCGUGAGGAACCUGCCUUUCAGAGGGGGACAACAGUUGGAAACGACUGCUAAUACCGCAUAACGUACGGGUAUCGCAUGGUACUGGUACCAAAGAUUUAUCGCUGAGAGAUGGCCUCGCGUCUGAUUAGCUAGUUGGUAGGGUAACGGCCUACCAAGGCGACGAUCAGUAGCCGGACUGAGAGGUUGGCCGGCCACAUUGGGACUGAGAUACGGCCCAGACUCCUACGGGAGGCAGCAGUGGGAAUAUUGGGCAAUGGGCGCAAGCCUGACCCAGCAACGCCGCGUGAAGGAAGAAGGCUUUCGGGUUGUAAACUUCUUUUGACAGGGAAGAGCAGAAGACGGUACCUGUCGAAUAAGCCACGGCUAACUACGUG